UACGUUCCAGGCCCUUCCAAAGAAGUUGUUCGGCAGAGACCUGGCCUCAGGGCCUGCAAGGAGGAAGAUGAAAACCAGCACUGUUUGGACAGUGCGGGACCCCCACUGGAGCUGAGGUGCCUGGGGAUGCUUUCCAUCGGGCGUGGAGGUUGAGGGUAGCUGUGGAACCAUCUGUGAAGGUCCUCAGUGGACAGACCAACACACUUCAGAAAUAUCACCGUGGCUGCCUGCGGUGGGCACAGAAGUGGGAUCACAGCGUGGACUGGGUACACAAUGAACUAGAGGAAGAGCAGAGUCAUCCAUAAGGGGGGAGAGGGAGAGAGAGAGAGAGAGAGAGAGAGAGCCAAGGCGCCAAGAGGCCCUUAGGAGGGGCCUGGAUACCUCCUGUUGCCGUGUCAGACAGACACACGGCCCUGUCAUCUAACCGUGAGUUAGAGCUAACAGCUGAACGGAAGAAUUAAUUUCUCAUUGUGCUUCAUUUGAGUUUUAGAAAUGCCUUCAGGGUAGAAAAGUUACUAGAAUAGCUUUCUCAUAUG
This is a long non-coding RNA of Lagenorhynchus albirostris (white-beaked dolphin), 536 nucleotides long. RefSeq lists it as uncharacterized. The record is from RefSeq and is a predicted model, not a curated record. The transcript is spliced from 3 exons. NCBI's taxonomy places the organism in Eukaryota, Metazoa, Chordata, Mammalia, Artiodactyla, Delphinidae.